This 399-nucleotide ribosomal RNA is filed under the name uncultured bacterium. RNAcentral describes it as "bacterial SSU rRNA". It matches the Rfam family "Bacterial small subunit ribosomal RNA", at positions 975 to 1375 of the family's 1533-position model. The record is from RNAcentral.
CAGCCCUUGACAUCCCGUGUUACCCGUAGAGAUAUGGGGUCCACUUCGGUGGCGCGGAGACAGGUGCUGCAUGGCUGUCGUCAGCUCGUGUCGUGAGAUGUUGGGUUAAGUCCCGCAACGAGCGCAACCCUCGCCCUUAGUUGCCAGCAUUUGGUUGGGCACUCUAAGGGGACUGCCGGUGAUAAGCCGAGAGGAAGGUGGGGAUGACGUCAAGUCCUCAUGGCCCUUACGGGCUGGGCUACACACGUGCUACAAUGGUGGUGACAGUGGGCAGCGAGCACGCGAGUGUGAGCUAAUCUCCAAAAGCCAUCUCAGUUCGGAUUGCACUCUGCAACUCGAGUGCAUGAAGUUGGAAUCGCUAGUAAUCGCGGAUCAGCAUGCCGCGGUGAAUACGUUCCC